AUUUGAAGUAAACUAAUUGUGCAUUAUUCUCAGAGUAUUGGAUUUUGUCCAAACUGUUUAACAUUUAAUAAAUUGUAAAAAGUAUCUUUAGGUGCUUGAAUCACCCAAAACCACCCUAAGAAAUAGCACUUACCAGUUGAUUCAGGAAGGUCAGAGCCAUUGUUAGGGUAUCUGUUGUGACAAUAAGGGAGAUAGGUGCUCUUCUUCUUUGAGUCUUCUCUUGCCAUAUUUACCACUGAUAAUAUAAUCGUUACAUAACUGUUAUCUUAGAAAGUGUCCAUUGAGUAUUUACUAGUUGACCACUAUUUCAUUCUGAGCGGCCUGAGACAGGAGAUGUUCAUUUAAAUGCUCACAGACUGAUAAGAACUUGAGACGAUUCACAAUCCAACACAAAAUCCAAUGUGACAAUAGAAGUGAUCAUGGUAGAUCACUCCAUGUGUAAGAACCAGGUGAUUCACACAUGGACCGGCAGUUAUCACUCUAGAUUGAGUAUAGGUACACAGCCAAAUGAUACUUUCACUGAUGAAUUUAGAACCAUGUAUUUCACUAUAUAAGUGGAAGAAUUUUAGUAAAUCUUUAUAAAUUAUAAAAAAGAAAGAAUUGUGUUACAAUUUCAACAGCAAUGAAUGUGAUUGUAGUUUCACACUCCAUGAUUUCGGUGUCCAAAUUCACUGAAUGUUGCCCCAACUUGUUAGCACUUUCAUUUAAACUGCAGUAAAUGUGCUACAAUUAGGGUAACAUUCAGAGAUACAUUGCAGGACUCACACAAGUUAGUAACAUCAAUCAGACACAUGAGACUGCCCCAAAGAGUAGCACUUAUCGAUGAAAUAAAAAUCAGUGCUUCUAUUUGAAGUAAUCUAAAUGUGCUUGUUUUAUUUUUGGUAAAGUAUUUGAUGUCAUCUUACGAAUGAGCAGUUUCAUGAAAUCUGAUGAGAUCAAUUGAGACUGCCCCAAAGAGUAGCACUUAUCGAUGAAAUAAAAAUCAGUGCUUCUAUUUGAAGUAAUCUAAUUGUGCUUGUUUUUUUUUUUUGGUAAUGUAUUUGUUGUCAUCCUAUGAUUGAGCAAUUUCAUUAAACCUGGAUAAAAGAUCUUAUUGAUUCAGUC
Long non-coding RNA from Ictalurus punctatus (channel catfish), 1104 nucleotides. NCBI's taxonomy places the organism in Eukaryota, Metazoa, Chordata, Actinopteri, Siluriformes, Ictaluridae. The record is from Ensembl.